GAAGCAACUUCAUCUCUAUGGACACAGUGCCUGGGAUGUUCUCCCCCACCCCACUCCUGAGCCCCACUGAAAUGAAGGGGAGCUGACAGAGAACAGUACCCAGCACAGCUUGCUGCUCAUUUCAAUAGGGCGUGUGCAGGGGGACAGCCCAGUGGAUCGUGUCCAGUGCAUUUGUAGGAUUAGGAAGAAUGCUUGCAGAAAUGCCCUUGAAUAAGAUUCAAGUAUUUUGUUUCGUGCGUAUUUCCAACCCAUCACAUCAGCUGCACGCAUCGUAGCGUCUACCAGACCCAGGGCUCCUAGAAGCUUCACCGGACUGCCAUUGAUCCUCAGAGAGACUCCCUUCUUGUUGCUGCCACAGUAGGUGAAGAGGAGAUUGCUCUGGCCAAUCAUCUGCAUGGAAAAUCCGACAUGAAUGGCCAAAUUAACUUCCAGUGUGGGAGAGAAAAGUGGGACAAUUAUGCCAAAUUUUGACAGGAAGGGCUGCUAGCUAAACUUU
RNAcentral lists this long non-coding RNA (496 nucleotides) under Pogona vitticeps (central bearded dragon). Its description in RNAcentral is "lncRNA (ENSPVIG00000021255.1)". Lineage: Eukaryota; Metazoa; Chordata; Lepidosauria; Squamata; Agamidae. The record is from RNAcentral.